CCAUGCCGCGUGAGUGAAGAAGGCCUUCGGGUUGUAAAGCUCUUUCGGCGGGGACGAAAAGGUCCGUGCUAAUACCAUGGAUCCAUGACGGUACCCGCAGAAGAAGCACCGGCUAACUACGUGCCAGCAGCCGCGGUAAUACGUAGGGUGCAGGCGUUAAUCGGAAUUACUGGGCGUAAAGCGUGCGCAGGCGGUCUGCUAAGACAGGUGUGAAAUCCCCGGGCUUAACCUGGGAACUGCGCUUGUUACCGGCAGGCUUGAGUGUGGCAGAGGGGGGUGGAAUUCCACGUGUAGCAGUGAAAUGCGUAGAGAUGUGGAGGAACACCGAUGGCGAAGGCAGCCCCCUGGGCUAACACUGACGCUCAUGCACGAAAGCGUGGGGAGCAAACAGGAUUAGAUACCCUGGUAGUCCACGCCCUAAACUAUGUCAACUGGUUGUCGGGGAAGCAAUUCCUUGGUAACGAAGCUAACGCGUGAAGUUGACCGCCUGGGGAGUACGGCCGCAAGGUUA
This 511-nucleotide ribosomal RNA is filed under the name uncultured Pseudomonadota bacterium. RNAcentral's name for it is "bacterial SSU rRNA". It matches the Rfam family "Bacterial small subunit ribosomal RNA", at positions 392 to 896 of the family's 1533-position model. Lineage: Bacteria; Pseudomonadati; Pseudomonadota. The record is from RNAcentral.